Long non-coding RNA from Corythoichthys intestinalis (scribbled pipefish), 542 nucleotides. RefSeq lists it as uncharacterized. The transcript has 5 exons. The record is from RefSeq and is a predicted model, not a curated record. NCBI's taxonomy places the organism in Eukaryota, Metazoa, Chordata, Actinopteri, Syngnathiformes, Syngnathidae.
CACCUGUGCCUCGUUGUCUUGUUACGCCAUGUCUGUAUAUUAAGCUCCCCUUGUGCUGUCCUUCUCAUUCUACAUCCAGGCCUGUAUCUUCCUGCAUCUCUUAAUACUUUAUAAGACAAGACCCCACUUUUUGUUGACUAACUGCAGUAAUGGGAAGAUACCUAUCUUUGGCUUUCGUGGUGUGUGCCCUGCUGCCAGUGUCGUAUGGAUUUUGCACUGCUAGGGUGCCCAAACAAGGUGAAACUCGGUGCUUCGACGAGGCGGAUAAUAAAUGGUACCCAGUUGGAUCAACUUGGAUAAACGGUGACUGCAUGAAUUGUUCCUGCGUCGGAUGCUGCGCUGUGUAUAGCAUUCCCACACAAUUUCCCGAUGACUGCGUAUCAGUGUUGGACAAAGCAGCAUGUGAAUACAAAGUGCACAAGAAGGAUGAUCCUUCUAUUGAGUGCCCAAUUUUUGGUGCCACAGGAAAGUGAUGCAGCAGUGACAUCCCUUGUUGACUGUUGAAAGUGGAAAAGAACAAUAAUAAAAAAUGCUCCCUUGCA